ACAGGAAAAUAAUGAAGAAACAUUGACAGCUGUUACAGAGGAGGAAGCAACAGAGACACUUUAUGAGAGUGAUGAUGGAAAUGCAGAGGAAGAGGGUCCAGCCACUUCUCCAACAAACCUUUCCUCACUCCCUGUAAAGCAGCUGUACAAGACCUAUUUGAUCAAGAAA
Pelmatolapia mariae (spotted tilapia) is the source of this 169-nucleotide long non-coding RNA. RefSeq lists it as uncharacterized. Lineage: Eukaryota; Metazoa; Chordata; Actinopteri; Cichliformes; Cichlidae. The transcript is spliced from 3 exons. The record is from RefSeq and is a predicted model, not a curated record.